Molecule: long non-coding RNA, 5508 nt
Organism: Bombus pyrosoma
Lineage: Eukaryota; Metazoa; Arthropoda; Insecta; Hymenoptera; Apidae
Exons: 3
Source: RefSeq, a predicted model, not a curated record
GCUUUGGAGGAAACUUUGUGUAACAUUGUGUAACAUUAUCACUGUACACGAUUCCCCUAGAAUACCUUCAUUUCAUUAUUCAAUCUCUAUAUUGACAGUUCUACCAGUUCCUUAUCACAUAUUCCAUAUGAAUUCUACGGUAAUCACCAUAGUGUAUUCUACCAUCUUGCCGAAAAUUAAGCUUCCACGUGUGAAUUUCCAUGAGCUUGUUCGUGCCGCCAUUUAAUCCCUUGAAGGCUGCAACUACGUCGUUCUGCAAAUGCAUCUAUCGUUCGUAGAGAUUUGCUUUCGCGCUUUGCUUUCGAGCUUUCCUUCCAUCUGCUUCAUAGGUAAAGGUUCUCCGGUCGACGCGACGUUCAGUAUAAGGGAUGGGGGAGUAAAGCCUCGAGCUGCUUUUCACCCCUAAUGUGUGGUUCUAGGUGCGUGCCUCAUCCCCUUGAGGAAGGUUUUGCAAUCAUGUUUAAUAUUAUUCGCGGCGCAGUAGUGCAUCGAAUUGGUAAAUAAGAAAUAUGCUAAAUUCUGUUCUGUUGUUCACGAGAAAAUUGGCAUUUCUCAGAUCGAAGAUUUGUAGAAUGAGAAAAGCAAAAUGGAAAAUGUCGAAUUUCAGAUCUUUGGUUUUUACGAUUAUUAAAUACAGAAGUUAAUUAUUGAGAUAGGGACAUAAUUAUAGAUUGCUAUUUAUUUGCAUUGUUGAUGUAUAAUACAUAUUGUACAUAGUAUGAUAGUAAUGCUCCUAAUAGGUAUUCAUCGUAGGAUAGUUUUCAAUCUCUCAGAAGGAAGACUGAGAUCAACUACACCGUUUCAUUUGUCCACAUAAUUAACGUUGAACCAGAACAAAUUACUUCAUUUUCGCAAGUUGUAAAUUCAAGAUAAGUUUUAAAAAACUAAUUCUUGCGACAUUAUCGCUCUUUUCCGCACUUCAAUUUAUCGCGUUAAUUAAUGUGGUCGCCGCCAAUCUCAAUUACGAAGCAAAGUAAUCAACUUGUUCUAUUACAAUUUCCCAAUACAUUAUUAUCGUCCUUUGUGAUAAAAAUAUUUCUUAAAAUAUUCCAUUGCUUCUCUGUUUGCGUCUACAGCCGAUAGCUGUAUUUCCGUUUCAAAUCGAUUACGGUAAAUACAUCGUUAGAAAAUCAAGUUUUCGAAACAAGCGACUACCGCAGUGUCUGAUACCUCGUCGAUCGUGGACUGUUAAGUUCGUCUCGCCUGGAAACGUCCGGGGAGACCGUGGAGACUCGGCGUAAACGGUCGGAAUUUAUCUCACGAGCGCGUUCAGUUUUCCGAACGAUUCAACGGAACGCUUCGCGUUUCACAUUCGAUAGGUGGAAAUAACGUUGCCCGGGUGGAAAUGGACGCAAACAAAUCAAUUGGUUCCGAAUGAAAUCAAACAAACGCGCGAGACGUUUCAGUGAUUCGACGAGCGCCACCUUCGUCUUUGUUUCUCUUUUCUUCUGGCGUAGCCUGGUCGAGAGGGUAGAGAAUGAAAAAUAGGAACGAGCAGGCUGCAUCGUCGUGACACUCAUUUUUUCUUGUCCUCUGUAUCUCCAGUUGCUUCUUCUUUCUUCCUCUCUUUCUGUUUGUUCUUUUAAUUCUGUCGACAUCCUAGUAGUCACGCUCUAGUAACGACAGACGGUUUCGCUUCGCAUCGACCGACAGUGCAAAGUCCAUUGUACUACUCUUUUCGUUUUAAUCAUCGCUAUGGACAACUUGAUACAAUUUGUUGGUAUCAUUCGAUUCGAGGAAAUGGAGAACACUGAAAAAGAGAUUGUAUCGUCGAAAUUGAAUAGUUCAGGAAUUUAAAAAUACGAACACCAGUCUGUUACUCGUUGCGUAUAGGUGACACACCCUGGAGGGAAUUAGUUGCAAGUUUUCGCGGUUGAGAAGAGACGCCCUUCUUGGAACUUUGUCCCGAUGGAAAGUUGGAAGUUGAACCGUCCCGAGAGCUGCAUUCGGCGUUUUACGCAGUGCGAAACGCUGUCAGUUAAAUAUCGUUGACUGAAACAGCUAUGCCCCUGUAACAAUGCUCGUAGCGUUCAUGAGUGCAAACUGGGUUCAGCUUUGCUUCUCCUUUAACUUCAUUUAUGAAUAGAAUCGAGUAGAGACGAAGAGAUCAAUUAAGAACGAUGACGUGAUAUUGUACUUGGAAUCGAAUGAAAAAUAAUAUGAUCGGUUGCAUGGGGAAUUUUGAGCACUACUAAACAGAAAUUUUCACUUUCAGGUGCAAUUGAAUCGAAACGAUCGCUGCUCGUUCAGCCGGAUGGAAGAUCCGCACAAAAAGUUCCAUUUAGUCCGAUUCCAAGUCCGAUCGAGGCUGUGCUGGUGGCGGUGUUCCGGAUAAAUUUAUUUUAAGUGUCCUUCUGAUGGCAGAGCUCGAUUCACCGUCUUCAGAUCAAAGAAGUAAUAACAAGGAGGGACUCGUCGGGAAAGUGUUCUCGGUAGGAAUGUGGUAAGAAUUCAUUUCUUCGUGCCCCUUUUCCUCUUAUUCCCUUUAUUUUGCAGUGACCCGCAGUGCUGCGUCAGAAGUGGUUGAAAAAGAAAGAGACGCUAGCAGAAAGCGUGAGAAGAAACGAGGUUUCCGGGCGCAUAUGAAAUGCACCGACAGAAGAUGGGGGGAAGCAUCCGUCACUGUUUUAUUUUCGGGGAGGCACGAGCCAGAUGUUGCCAGGGUUGGGUUUUAUUAGACUUCAAGCUUAGCUUUUGUACUUCUAUUUUCCGCCUCAACUUCCACAUUGGUUUGAUUUAACCUUGCGAAGGUCACGGUUCAUGUGGCAAAUGUACAUAUGUAAAAUCUUUUUGCAAAAAUUUUUCUACAGAUACGUAAAGUUUGCGGACGAAGAUUAGCUGCUAUACAUAUACAUUAUGUGUUCAUCGCUUCGAACUGGAGAUGAGAAAGGGUAGAAGAUGAUGGAAGGUCGAAAGAUUCGAGGGGAAUGAAAAGAGGAAAUGAAAAAAGGGAUGCAAAGGGUGCAGAAGCAAGGAGAAAAAGGAAGGAUAUAGAAUAGAAAGUGAAGUAAAGAAAGGAAAGUGUGUAGAGAAGGGCAGACUGGGACUUAAUACUAUAAUGUCUACCUUUCUUCAUAUUGAUUACGGAAUUUAAGUAAGAAUAAUUUGUAAAUCCUACGUUUCCAUUAUCCAAGUCUAACACGAUGAAGAAGUCUCUAAUCUCUUCCCUUUGAACCACUGUAAAUACAUCAUCCUUUUUAAUAAAGUUUCGGGCGCUGAACUUGCCAGCCCAAAGAAAUCUUAAGUCAAUAAAGAUACGAAGUUGAAUAAGUCUUUGAAACUUCUCAAAAUAAAGUUGGCUAUAACGUUUUGAAACAGAAGCAAAGUGUAUGACCUGCGAAUAAAUUACGUUAACCCCUAUGGAGUCAUUAACGUUCAAGAGGAACACCUAAAUCCUUCUCUCGAUAACCCACCGAAGAAACGUAGAAUCAAUUUCGAAGAUCACUAACAAGACAGUUAAUCUAUCCUCCAGAGUCCAUAGAUCAGAUCUGGGUAAUAACUAAUAGAAUGUACGACCCGAAUGUUACUCCUUUGUUCUUCGUUCUAUCGACUGGCAAGGGUCAAUUAAAUUUCAGCAGAAAGGGGCUAGAAAAAAAGGAUGGAUCGAGCGUGAUUCGCCGGAAGCGAUUUCUUUUGGAGGGAAUCGCUUUGAGAGAGACGACGUGUCGACGAGCUUUGAACGCGAAAACGGGGCUGAGGCUUGCGAACGAAGGCAGAGGGCGAAGAAAAUAGAAAACUGGCCUGUUAGCUAGUAUAUGUAUGAGCUCGGGUCCUUUGGGGCUGACGUCGAAAAGAGUACAGGGCCGUGACCACGGGGGCGCAACGUGGCGAAGGGGGACGAGGUCGGGAACGGACGAAAAAGGGAUCAAAGGCGGUGUCACACGACGCUAAUUAGUCCGGUGCAACGUGACGGCAGAAUCAGCCGUCUGCAGGUUUCGAAUGGUUGGAUGUGUUCCUACGAGAGGCCGAGCGAAAAUCUAAUUGCGGGCCGGACCUGGCUCGCAAACAGCUUUUAAUGAUUUUCGGAUAGAUAGUUUCGGAUAGUAGUUGACGGAGAAACGGUUAAUUAAAUGGCAAUGGAAGCCCAUCGGUUUUUUAUCCAUUGCAAACUAAAGUGCUUAGUUUGCAUUUUUAAAAGUAGGAAGAUAUUUUAAUGUAAUUUAUUUACCGAAUUUUAUUUAUUUACAAAGGAGAGGGACAUUGCUGACACGAGUUUCGCAACCUUCAGUGGCUUUCAAAUGGCUUUGGAGUCAACAUUGAUACGGAGAUAUAAGUUCGAUAACUCUUGUACUCUCUUGUGCAUUGAAACGAGCACGACUGCCAAUCGCCCUACUUCGACCAUCACCUGUGAUUCGAAGAUAUUUUAUGCAUUCGUUUGUUUGUAUACGGUUUAGGUAUGACACUUUGAUAAGGUUUCAUCAUAUAGUUCAUGGAGUUUUGUAGCGACAGCGUGAUCCCCUGCUUAGAUAGCAAAGAGGACAGAACUACCAGAGAAAUAAUGGAGCAAUCAGGGUGACAGAGAGCGAAACAAUCCGGAAUUUGUUACCCCGGUAAACUCUCUUCUUUCUUGUUUUUCAACUUCAGCUGGACGUACCGGAAAUUACAGCCUGGUGCCCUUCGAUUUCUUCCAUCUCCGGUCGAGAUGCGGCGAGUCAAUGUGUGAGUUCAGGUUUCUAGUGGCCGGGAUAAACCACGUUGCACAAUCUAAGGAAACGAUAACGUGGACAUCAGUGUGUAUCCCGGGUGAAAUUCCUGCCUCGAUUUCUCUUUCGUUCUUCUUUUAUCGUUUUCGCGUCAGUGACUUGUUUCUUUCCAAGUGAUAUAUCUCUGCAGUACAUAAUCCCUCGGAAAACUUCACCAAUUGCAAAUUGUUCGUUCUGAUUUAUUAAUCGUGUAUUAUUUUAUAUUAUGCGUAGUAUUUUUACUCGAAGCAACGUUGUAUCACGUAAGAUUAAUAUUAUCGAUCGUUUCAUUCAAGUAGCGGACAAGUCAAGAGGUAUUAUUCUAGAAAUUUUUCAAAGAGAACGAUCACUCUGGUAUCAAUAGUCGUUUAUCAUGAACUGUUCGACGAUAUUCAGGCGACGUUGGCCAUUCGCGACCAAAGUUGAAGUUCCUGAACACUCUGCCUCUCUCCUAAUAAAUCAAUAUUGACAGGGAUGUUAUAUUUUUCUUUCACCAUCUUCCAGACGUUCCAGGCGAAUAUCACAUUCCAUCUGUAUCGCGUUUUCCCUCGCGUUCCUUGUGUUAUUAUAUCCGACCAGAACACGGGAAACCUUCUCGAUGUUUUUUCGAUCCCAACGUGUUUCCAUAAUUUUCUUCGAAUUGAAAUCGCUACAGUUUCGUUGUCUUCCUUUCUCACCUAUUUGUCACAAGGCGUAUCAAAUUCCUCGGCAAACAUACACGAAACGAAACUAUGAUUUUAAGCGAGGACAAAUGGAAAACGUUCGCCAGCAACGUGUGCUAAUUUUCAUAAUUGCGAUAUAUGGCCUGAAAACCGUUUGUCGGCGA